UUGCCGCUGGUGAGAUUGUUGCUGUUGCUAGGAUUUGACAUACAUGCGGUAGAUGUGUUUGUGAAGGUAGUGUUAAAAUUUAUCCGGUAUGGUCACAAUAUGUUAUCAUAUUGUAUGUUGUGGAUUAGGGUGUUGUACAUCGGGUUGAAGGUUCCUCUCAACUCAACUUGUUAUUGGAUAUCUCUCUGAAUGAUUCACUUUGCUUUAUGUUGGAGGCUUUGAUCGA
Molecule: long non-coding RNA, 226 nt
Organism: Hibiscus syriacus
Lineage: Eukaryota; Viridiplantae; Streptophyta; Magnoliopsida; Malvales; Malvaceae
Exons: 3
Source: RefSeq, a predicted model, not a curated record